RNAcentral lists this ribosomal RNA (505 nucleotides) under uncultured bacterium. Its description in RNAcentral is "partial 16S ribosomal RNA". It matches the Rfam family "Bacterial small subunit ribosomal RNA", at positions 29 to 523 of the family's 1533-position model. The record is from RNAcentral.
AGUGAACGCUGGCGGUAGGCCUAACACAUGCAAGUCGAACGGCAGCACAGAGGAGCUUGCUCCUUGGGUGGCGAGUGGCGGACGGGUGAGGAAUACAUCGGAAUCUACUCUGUCGUGGGGGAUAACGUAGGGAAACUUACGCUAAUAACGCAUACGACCUACGGGUGAAAGCAGGGGACCUCCGGGCCUUGCGCGAUUGAAUGAGCCGAUGUCGGAUUAGCUAGUUGGCGGGGUAAGGCCCACCAAGGCGACGAUCCGUAGCUGGUCUGAGAGGAUGAUCAGCCACACUGGAACUGAGACACGGUCCAGACUCCUACGGGAGGCAGCAGUGGGGAAUAUUGGACAAUGGGCGCAAGCCUGAUCCAGCCAUACCGCGUGGGUGAAGAAGGCCUUCGGGUUGUAAAGCCCUUUUGUUGGGAAAGAAAUCCAGCUGGCUAAUACCCGGUUGGGAUGACGGUACCCAAAGAAUAAGCACCGGCUAACUUCGUGCCAGCCGCCGCGGUAA